GCUAAACAGUUAGCUUAAUUACCAAAAAAUACCAAAACAACAUUACCAUGCUUUACAAAGACAAUAACGCACCAAACUAAAACAUUUUACCGCCCUAGUAUGGGAGACAGAAAAGGCACCACAAAGCUAUAAUAAAAGUACCGCAAGGGAACACUGAAAAAGAAAUGAAACAAAUCAUUAAAGCAUAAUAAAGCAGAGACUAACCCUCGUACCUUUUGCAUCAUGAUUUAGCCAGCAUCACCGAGCAAAGAGCACUUUAGUUCAAAACCCCGAAACUAAGUGAGCUACCCCGAGACAGCCUAUCAAUUAGGGCCAACCCAUCUCUGUGGCAAAAGAGUGGGAAGAUCUCCGGGUAGAAGUGACAGACUUACCGAACUUAGUUAUAGCUGGUUGCCUAUGAAAUGAAUAGAAGUUCAGCUUCGCACUCCUUAACUCACAAACACAAAACACGAGCCAGAGAAACAUGCGAAAGUUAGUCAAAGAAGGUACAGCUUCUUUGAAACAGGAUACAACCUGGUCAGGAGGUUAAAGAUUAUAUUACACAAGAUAUACCGCUCUAGUGGGCCUAAAAGCAGCCACCCAGACAGAAAGCGUUAAAGCUCAGACGGAAUAAAAAUCCAUUAUCCAAAUACUUAAUCUAAAACCCCUAACUUUAUUAGGCCGCCCUAUGCCCACAUAGAAAAGAUACUGCUAAAAUGAGUAAUAAGAAAGAACACCUUUCUCCUUAGCCCACGUGUAUGCUAGAUCGGACUAACCACUAGCAAUUACCGAACCCAAUCAACAGAGGGUAAUGUGCCUUAUACCAAACACCAAGAAAUUCGCACACAACUCGAAUCGUUAAACCCACACCGGAGGACUUAAUUAGGAAAGACUAAAAGAAAAGGAAGGAACUCGGCAAACAUAAGCCUCGCCUGUUUACCAAAAACAUCGCCUCCUGCAAAAAUCAACGUAUAGGAGGUCUUACCUGCCCAGUGACAAGUUUAACGGCCGCGGUAUUUUGACCGUGCGAAGGUAGCGCAAUCACUUGUCUUUUAAAUGAAGACCUGUAUGAAUGGUGGAACGAGGGCUUAACUGUCUCCCUUCUCAAGUCAAUGAAAUUGAUCUGCCCGUGCAGAAGCGGACAUAUAAUUACAAGACGAGAAGACCCUUUGGAGCUUUAGAUAAAAGAUCACCUAUGUCAAGGACCAAAACAAGUCAAACCAAGUAGAAAUUGAUCCUAAUCUUUUGUUGGGGCGACCACGGGAAAAAAUAAAGCUCCCACGAGGAUUGGGCCAUACCCCUAAAACCAAGAAAAACAUUUCCAAGUCACAGAAUGUCUGACCACAAAGAUCCGGCUAUCCGCCGACCAACGGACCAAGUUACCCUAGGGAUAACAGCGCAAUCCCCUUCCAGAGUCCAUAUCGACAAGGGGGUUUACGACCUCGAUGUUGGAUCAGGACAUCCUAAUGGUGCAGCCGCUAUUAAGGGUUCGUUUGUUCAACGAUUAAAGUCCUACGUGAUCUGAGUUCAGACCGGAGUAAUCCAGGUCAGUUUCUAUCUGUAAUUGCUACUUUCCCCAGUACGAAAGGACCGGAAAAGAAGGGCCCAUAUUUCCAACACGCCCCACCCCAACUUAAAGACACCAACUAAAUUAAACAAAGGGAGAGCAUAA
This 1651-nucleotide ribosomal RNA is filed under the name Cephalosilurus apurensis. RNAcentral's name for it is "partial 16S ribosomal RNA". It matches the Rfam family "Bacterial large subunit ribosomal RNA". The record is from RNAcentral. Lineage: Eukaryota; Metazoa; Chordata; Actinopteri; Siluriformes; Pseudopimelodidae.